Molecule: ribosomal RNA, 301 nt
Filed under: uncultured bacterium
Lineage: Bacteria
Description: partial 16S ribosomal RNA
Rfam family: Bacterial small subunit ribosomal RNA
Source: RNAcentral
CAGCCGCCACGGGAAUACGUAGGGUGCGAGCGUUAAUCGGAAUUACUGGGCGUAAAGCGUGCGCAGGCGGUUCGUUAAGACAGAUGUGAAAUCCCCGGGCUUAACCUGGGAACUGCAUUUGUGACUGGCGAGCUAGAGUAUGGCAGAGGGGGGUAGAAUUCCACGUGUAGCAGUGAAAUGCGUAGAGAUGUGGAGGAAUACCGAUGGCGAAGGCAGCCCCCUGGGCCAAUACUGACGCUCAUGCACGAAAGCGUGGGGAGCAAACAGGAUUAGAUACCCCCGUAGUCCCUGUCUCUUAUAC